CCCCCAUAACCCCAUAACCCCAUAGACCCCAUAACCCCAUAGCCCCUAUAACCCCAUACCCCCAUAACCCCAUAGACAACCCCAUACCCUCUCGGAGGUGCUCAUGCUGUCGGCCCCACACUCGUCCUCAUUGAAGAACUGGGACGCGACGCUCAUCCUAUUACUGGGGCCCUCAGCCCCCCCCGACCCCGACAUGGCCCCCCCACGGCGACCCUAUAAAGGUAAUGGGACAGGAUGGGGGGCAGUGAGACCCUAUAGGGCUUAUAUAGGACCCUAUAGGGCUUAUAUGGGAUCCCAUAGGGCUCAUAUAGGACCCCAUAGGGCCUGCAUAGGAAUAGGACCCCACAGAGCCCACCAUGGCCCCCCCACGGCGAUCCUAUAAGGGUUAUGGGACAUGAUGGGGGGCAGUGAGACCCCAUAGGGUCUAAAUAGGAUCCUAUAGGGCUUAUAUGGGAUCCCAUAGGGCUCAUAUAGGACCCCAUAGGGCCUGCAUAGGAAUAGGACCCCAUAGAGCCCACCAUGGCCCACCCACAGCGAUCCUAUAAGGGGGAAUGGGACAGGAUGGGGGGCAUUGGGACCCCAUAGGGCCUAAAUAGGACCCUAUAGGGCUUAUAUAGGACCCCAUAGGGCCUGCAUAGGAAGAGGAUCCCAUACAGCCCACCAUGGCCCCCCCACGGUGACCCUAUAAAGGGGAAUGGGACAGGAUGGGGGGCAUUGGGACCCCAUAGGGCCUAAAUAGGACCCUAUAGGGCUUAUAUAGGACCCCAUAGGGGUUCCAUAGCAAUAGGACCCCAUAGAGCCCACCAUGGCCCCCCCAUGGCGACCCUAUAAGGGUUAUGGGACAUGAUGGGGGGCAGUGAGACCCCACAGGGCCUAAAUAGGACCCUAUAGGGCUUAUAUAGGACCCCAUAGGGCCUGCAUGGGAAUAGGACCCCAUAGAGCCCACCAUGCCCCCCCCACUGCGCCCCCCGGAACCCUAUAGAGCCCCAUAGAACCCUACAGAGCCCCAUAGAACCCUAUAGAACCCCAUGGGACCCUAUAGAGCCCCAUAGAAUCCUAUAGAGCCCCAUGGAACCCUAUAGAGCCCCAUAGAACCCUACAGAGCCCCACAGAACCCUAUAGAGCCUCAUAGAACCCUACAGAGCCCCAUGGAACCCUAUAGAGCCCCACAGAACCCUACAGAGCCCCAUAGAACCCUACAGAGCCCCAUAGAACCCUACAGAACCCUGUAGAACCCUAUAGAGCCUCAUGGGACCCUAUAGAGCCCCAUGGAACCCUAUAGAGCCCCACAGAACCCUACAGAGCCCCAUAGAACCCUAUAGAGCCCCAUAGAACCCUAUAGAGCCCCACAGAACCCUAUAGAGCCCCAUAGAACCCUAUAG
Molecule: long non-coding RNA, 1382 nt
Filed under: Coturnix japonica (Japanese quail)
Lineage: Eukaryota; Metazoa; Chordata; Aves; Galliformes; Phasianidae
Description: lncRNA (ENSCJPG00005003486.1)
Source: RNAcentral